This is a non-coding RNA of Gossypium hirsutum (cotton), 74 nucleotides long. NCBI's taxonomy places the organism in Eukaryota, Viridiplantae, Streptophyta, Magnoliopsida, Malvales, Malvaceae. The record is from Rfam.
GCGGAUGUAGCCAAGUGGAUAAAGGCAAUGGAUUGUGAAUCCAUCGUGUGCAAAUUCAAUUCUCGUAGUUCGCC